UUGAAAGUUAAAAUCAAAUUUAAGUUUCCAAAUUUUUUAUAUAGGCUUGUUUUUGAUGAGAAAUAGUUUAGAUAUUUUUUUUUUUUGAAUUACCCAUUCCCUUUUUGUUCCUGUUCUUUCUCUCUAAGAUAAUAUCAUAUUUUUUUAUAUAUAAAUGAAAUAAUUUACAUUUUUAAAAAUAACCCAACAUUAUAUAGCUUGUAUUUAACUAAUUAAAUUACUCGUUCUCUU
Molecule: long non-coding RNA, 231 nt
Filed under: Capsella rubella
Lineage: Eukaryota; Viridiplantae; Streptophyta; Magnoliopsida; Brassicales; Brassicaceae
Description: long non-coding RNA (CRUB_LNC003406)
Source: RNAcentral